Molecule: transfer RNA, 74 nt
Filed under: Butyrivibrio sp.
Lineage: Bacteria; Bacillati; Bacillota; Clostridia; Lachnospirales; Lachnospiraceae
Description: tRNA-Thr
Rfam family: tRNA
About the family: Transfer RNA (tRNA) molecules are approximately 80 nucleotides in length. Their secondary structure includes four short double-helical elements and three loops (D, anti-codon, and T loops). Further hydrogen bonds mediate the characteristic L-shaped molecular structure. tRNAs have two regions of fundamental functional importance: the anti-codon, which is responsible for specific mRNA codon recognition, and the 3' end, to which the tRNAs corresponding amino acid is attached (by aminoacyl-tRNA synthetases). tRNAs cope with the degeneracy of the genetic code in two manners: having more than one tRNA (with a specific anti-codon) for a particular amino acid; and 'wobble' base-pairing, i.e. permitting non-standard base-pairing at the 3rd anti-codon position.
Source: RNAcentral
UUCGGAAUGGUGCAGUUGGAUAGCACGCAAGCCUAGUGAGCUUGAAGUCGCUGGUUCGAAUCCAGCUUCUGAAU